AAGACACUAGUAAAAAUCGACCAUUACACCGCCUUGUCAAGGCGAAGUUGUGGGUUAAAGCCCCGCGUGUCUUA
Molecule: transfer RNA, 74 nt
Filed under: Hexagrammos stelleri (whitespotted greenling)
Lineage: Eukaryota; Metazoa; Chordata; Actinopteri; Perciformes; Hexagrammidae
Description: tRNA-Asp
Rfam family: tRNA
About the family: Transfer RNA (tRNA) molecules are approximately 80 nucleotides in length. Their secondary structure includes four short double-helical elements and three loops (D, anti-codon, and T loops).
Source: RNAcentral